GGGGGCAUCCGUCCCCGCGUUGGCGGGAAAGUCCGGCGGGCACGGCCCGGGCGCAGGACACCCCCCGACCGUCCCUCCCGUCCGGUCCCCACGGACACCGACCUCCCUCCCUUCUGGCCGCUGCCACUGAUCGAUGGAACCACCCGGAGCUGCGAGGGAGUCGACGCGUGAUGUCUCCAAUGUUUGAUCUUGUGUAGUCAUCAAAAGUACUUGACAUCAUUCGCUGACAUUCCCAGGGAUUGCGUGACUUCCAAACAGUUGUAACCUCUGUUCAAAUGGCCUGGGUUGGAGAAGAAUCAGCUUUCUACCUGUGGGUUUGAGUGGUACAAUACACCCACAUUUAGUGGUGUAGGACUCACCCUGCAUAUGGAUUCUGAAAACUGGCCCAUCUUCCUUGAGGAACUACCAGAGACAAGUUCUGGUUUGAUUCGCCCAGCCCUGCUCCUAUCCCAUGCUGGACCACCACACCCUCUGAAAAUAUGGGGCCCUGCAAUUCUAGCCCGAAGGAGACCCGAGGGAUAAAUCAACUCACCAUGAAAAUUUCAACUUUUUCUGCCACUUAAUUUUAUGCAAAGAAUGCCUCAAUUUCCUAGAAACUCAACUAUAUAAACAUUAUAAAAUAAUCUAUUUUCCUUGUGUUUUUAAUUUUAAAAAUUAAAUAAAGCUAC
Ornithorhynchus anatinus (platypus) is the source of this 668-nucleotide long non-coding RNA. RefSeq lists it as uncharacterized. The record is from RefSeq and is a predicted model, not a curated record. The transcript is spliced from 6 exons. Lineage: Eukaryota; Metazoa; Chordata; Mammalia; Monotremata; Ornithorhynchidae.